Lyophyllum atratum is the source of this 88-nucleotide non-coding RNA. The record is from the annotation of a GenBank genome assembly. NCBI's taxonomy places the organism in Eukaryota, Fungi, Basidiomycota, Agaricomycetes, Agaricales, Lyophyllaceae.
GCAUUAAUGGGGUAGUGGUAACCUGGGUCGUUGCCAUUCGAGAGUGAUCAAUCUCGACCCGCCGGGGGUUCGAUUCCCUCUUAAUGCA